RNAcentral lists this long non-coding RNA (353 nucleotides) under Carica papaya (papaya). RNAcentral describes it as "long non-coding RNA (CPAP_LNC011245)". The record is from RNAcentral. Lineage: Eukaryota; Viridiplantae; Streptophyta; Magnoliopsida; Brassicales; Caricaceae.
CGGUGUUUGGGUUUUAGGUUCUGUUUGGUUUCGCGUUUUAUUUAAUCCGUGUUUAUGUUUUUGUUUUUUUUUUUUUGUUUUCUAGUGUGGUUGGUGUUUGCCAGAGCAUGAUGGGGAUGAGUGGAACCAAGAUGGGGAUACCCAGUUGGCCAUUUCCUGGUGUGUCUGCUCUUUGGUAUCUUAAUUUCAUUGCUAAUAAUAAUGAUUUUCUCAUGCUAAUUACUUCUUCCGUAUCUAAUCUGAGCAAAAAAAAAAAAAAAAACAAGUGGUGGCAGUCCCCAAAACGACGCCGGAUAAAUGUACAAUUAACAAGGUAGAUAAUUAAAUUAUUAGAUUGUGCUAACCGAAUGUGG